AUGGCGAGCUCCGGCGAGGACAGGGGCGUGGUGGUGGACAUCCGCUCCGCGGCGGAGUCGGCGGGCGACGACGGCGCGCGCGACGCGCCGCUCCACGUCGUCGAGUCCCUCUGCAUGCGCUGCGGCGAGAACGGCACGACGAGGAUACUGCUGACUCUAAUCCCGCACUUCCGGGAGGUUGUUCUGAUGGCCUUCGAGUGCCCGCAUUGCAGCGAAAGGAACAAUGAGGUUCAGUUUGCGGGGCAGCUCCAGCCCAAGGGAUGCUGCUACACUUUGAAAGUCCCCAAGGGGCAGCCUGAGGUACUGAACCGCCAAGUUGUGAAAUCUGAUUCAGCAACUAUUAAGAUUCCAGAACUAGACUUUGAGAUCCCUCCAGAAGCUCAACGUGGAACACUUUCAACAGUGGAAGGGAGCAUUAUGCGAGCUGUUAGUGAGUUGCAAGCACUUCAGGAUGAAAGAAAGAAAGUGGAUCCUGAAAAGGCUGAAGCUAUUGAACAGUUCUUAGUAAAAUUGAGAUCUCUUGGAUCAGGGGAAGCUGCUUUUACCUUUAUUCUUGAUGAUGCUUCUGGUAACAGCUUCAUCGAGAACCCGAAUGCACCUUCAUCAGAUCCUUUGUUAUCUUUGAGAUUCUAUGAGAGGACAUAUGAACAACAAGCAGCACUCGGUUUUCUUGCUGAACCAACCAAAGAAUCUGGAGACUCUUCUCAGGAUGCGUCAACAGUGGAAGGAAACUCUGGUGGGCCGCAAAGGAUUCCACAUGGUUCAGUUGGAGCUGUUGCAGGUCGCCGUGCUAUAGCUCAGGGAAACUCUGAUGAAAUUACUGCAGCGCUGUGUAGAUAUUCAGCACCAGAAGAGGUUGAUACUUUACCAUCAACAUGUGCGGCUUGUGCUACUGAGUGUGUCACACGAUUCUUUUCUACAAAAAUCCCAUAUUUUCGAGAGGUGAUUGUUAUGGCUACAUCAUGUGAUGCUUGUGGCUAUCGCAACUCAGAGUUGAAGCCUGGUGGUGAAAUCCCAGCUAAAGGAAAGAAAACAACACUGAUUGUGCGAAAUGUAAAAGAUCUUAGUCGUGAUGUCAUCAAGUCAGAUUCAGCAGCAGUUAGUGUACCUGAACUUGAGUUGGAGCUGUCAAGCGGAACACUGGGUGGCAUUGUGACAACAGUUGAAGGUUUAAUUGUGAAAAUAUGCGAGGCACUGGAGCGAGUUCAUGGAUUCCAGUUGGGUGACAGCACAUAUGAAUGGAAGAAGAAGAAAUGGGAUGGUUUCACAGAGAGAUUAGCAAAGCUUCUAAAUCUAGAAGAGCCAUGGACUCUAAUUCUUGAUGACGCAUUAGCGGCUUCGUUUAUUGCUCCAGCGACAGAUUCGCUAGAAGAUGACAAACAGCUAACAAUUGAGGAGUAUGAGAGGAGCUGGGAGCAAAACGAGGAGCUGGGCUUGAAUGACAUGGACACGUCCUCUGCGGACAUGGCUUACAACACGACGAGCACGUCAUAA
This 1494-nucleotide ribosomal RNA is filed under the name Triticum aestivum (bread wheat). RNAcentral's name for it is "partial small subunit ribosomal RNA". The record is from RNAcentral. Lineage: Eukaryota; Viridiplantae; Streptophyta; Magnoliopsida; Poales; Poaceae.